This 157-nucleotide microRNA precursor is filed under the name Manihot esculenta (cassava). Its description in RNAcentral is "miR482b stem-loop (mes-MIR482b)". Its record names the gene mes-MIR482b. Lineage: Eukaryota; Viridiplantae; Streptophyta; Magnoliopsida; Malpighiales; Euphorbiaceae. The record is from miRBase by way of RNAcentral.
AGAUAGAGAGCUACUGGAAGUUGUAGGAAUGGGCGGUUUGGGAAAAAAUCAUAUACAUAAAUACGAUAACAGAUUACGUCGAAAAUCAAAUUAAGUGUAUACAAGUUUUCUUCCCAAUGUCGCCCAUUCCGAUGAUUUCCAGAAGCUCCUCCCUUUC